GAUGAACGCUGGCGGCGUGCCUAAUACGUGCAAGUAGAACGCUGAAGGAAGGAGCUUGCUCUUUCCGGAUGAGUUGCGAACGGGUGAGUAACGCGUAGGUAACCUGCCUGGUAGCGGGGGAUAACUAUUGGAAACGAUAGCUAAUACCGCAUAACAGUAGAUGUUGCAUGAUAUCUACUUAAACGGUGCAAUUGCACUACUACCAGAUGGACCUGCGUUGUAUUAGCUAGUUGGUGAGGUAACGGCUCACCAAGGCGACGAUACAUAGCCGACUUGAGAGGGUGGUCGGCCACACUGGGAAUGGGAAACGGCCCAGACUCCUACGGGAGGCAGCAGGAGGGAAUCUUCGGCAAUGGACGGAAGUCUGACCGAGGAACGCCGCGGGAGUGAAGAAGGUUUUCGGAUCGUAAAGCUCUGUUGUAAGAGAAGAACGAGGGUGAGAGUGGAAAGUUCACACUGUGACGGUAUCUUAACAGAAAGGGACGGCUAACUACGUG
Molecule: ribosomal RNA, 497 nt
Filed under: uncultured bacterium
Lineage: Bacteria
Description: partial 16S ribosomal RNA
Rfam family: Bacterial small subunit ribosomal RNA
Source: RNAcentral